Molecule: long non-coding RNA, 171 nt
Organism: Thalassophryne amazonica
Lineage: Eukaryota; Metazoa; Chordata; Actinopteri; Batrachoidiformes; Batrachoididae
Exons: 3
Source: RefSeq, a predicted model, not a curated record
UUAUUUGCAAUUAUGUCAAACAUCAGUGGGAUCCUCAUCACCCCUUGGACACAUUAGUUACAAGAGACAAAGGCAAAGCAACCAGCUGUCAUUCAUUUUCAGUCAGAGUGGGUGUUUUACAGCUACAAGAGACAAGCGGUCACUACACCACCAUCUAGCCAUGGCCAAAAA